Long non-coding RNA from Nilaparvata lugens (brown planthopper), 400 nucleotides. RefSeq lists it as uncharacterized. The transcript is spliced from 2 exons. NCBI's taxonomy places the organism in Eukaryota, Metazoa, Arthropoda, Insecta, Hemiptera, Delphacidae. The record is from RefSeq and is a predicted model, not a curated record.
AGCAGUAACAGGAUUUUGAAUCCGAGCAUUGAAUAGUCAACGCCAACGAAAAGCUAUCAGAAAAUCUACAAAAAUCAACGCCAAAGCUAUGGAUCGUCUACUGAUACUGGCUCUCAUAUUGGUUUUGAACUUUUUGAUGACAACAGAAGGUAAUUAUCCCUAUGCAAUAUCUGCACACGAUGAUCAAUAUAGAGAUUAUACUCAUGUGGGUGAUCCACCACCAGCACCCAUGGGAACCAAAAAGAUAGAUGCAACAAGAAGAUUCCUGUGGUAACGGCUUAUCAUCAACUACCACAACCAUAGAAUGUGGAUGUAUCCACAACUGGCAAUAGCAUAUAUCUGCAAUAAUGUUAUCUUUUUUGUUUUGGCAAUUAUAAAAUAAAUCCAUUAUUCUUGUAAA